UUGGCUGGGAGUUAAAGGAUGCAUUGUUGUUCUGAUGGAGACUGAGGGACUAGAAUCAUACUGAAACAUAACAAAAACAUACUGCACUAUCAGUCGAGGGUGCAGAUAGAAGACGGACUGUUUCAGGAAGACUGUGAUAAUUUCUUCUGGACGAUGACGUAUCUGGGAUACAUAGUUUCCAUCGGUCUUCUUCUGACCAUGGUGGUGGACAGUCAGCAGCAAACACCCAAAAUGAAGGCUCGUCGGAUUAAGCCUCCCAAACAGCCCAAACCUCCCAAGCUUCCCAAGCUUCCCAAGCUCCCCAAGCCUCCCAAACCCCCAAAACCAACAAAGCCUCUCUUCUCUGAACCUGAGGAACCAAACCAUCUUACAACACUGCCGCCGCCUCUCCCUCCAGGCCCAGUGUCCGUCUUCCCAGACUGCCCAAGGGAAUGCUUGUGUCCCCCUGACCAUCCCAACGCUCUCUACUGCGACAGUCGGAACCUAAGGGUGGUGCCCUUCAUUCCACCUCGGAUCGAAUACCUCUACCUCCAAAACAACUUCAUUGAGUCCUUGCCAGAGGGCCCCUUCCAGAAUGCAACAGGUCUCAAAUGGAUUAACCUGGACAAUAACAGGAUUUCCAGUCGAAAAGUGGACAAGGGUCUCUUUAACAUCCUGAACAAGGUCCUCUUCUUGUACAUGGAUAGAAACAGGUUGGAUGAAGUUCCUGCGAACCUCCCUCCCAGCCUGGAGCAACUUCGGCUUGCCAGGAACCAGAUCUCCAAGAUCCCCCCGGGCAGCUUCAGAAGACUGAGCAACCUGACCCUCUUGGACCUUCACCACAAUAAGCUGCCAGACAAAGUCUUCAAUAAGAACACGUUCAAAGGUCUCAAGAGCCUCAUGCAACUCAACCUGGCUCAUAACUCCCUGAAGAAGAUGCCCCCAACCAUACCUCCGCACAUCUUCCAGCUCUUUCUGGAUAGGAAUCGGAUCAGUCAAAUCCCUGAUAAUUAUUUCAAGAAUUUGCACCAGUUAACGUUUUUGAGGUUGAAUUUCAACCAAUUGACAGAUACGGGAAUUCCCAAUGGCACCUUUAAUUUGUCAUCUCUCCUUGGUCUCCACCUCUGCAACAACAAACUCAAUUCCAUACCAGUCUUUAACCCAAAGUUGGAGCAUCUCUACCUCAGCUACAACUACAUAGAAAAGAUCAAUGGAACCCAGAUCUGCCCAAGUCCCGUCAGUAGCGUGGCUAUGCAAGCUCAUGACCUGGAGGCCAUCCCACGGCUGCGGUAUCUGCGUCUGGACGGCAAUGCACUCUCACCCCCAAUCCCGAUAGACUUCAUGAUGUGCUUCAGGCUCCUGCAGGCCAUCGUGAUAUGAAGACUACAUCCCUGCAAGUUCGCCUCCCCGCCUUUUCUAAAUGGCAGCCAUCUUUUUAUGGGACUGGAUCUGUAUACACUGCAGUGCAGUUCAAUUGCAUUGUUCUUGCAGGAAAGCAAACGUUGCAGGCAGCUACAAAAAAAAUAAAUGGAACACGAUUUUCCUCGGCAAAACAAAGCUGGAGUUAUUUUUAAUGUUAUCAAGGAUAGCUUAAGUGUUUACACUCAGUGGCCACUUCAUUUGGUGCACCUGUACGCCUGCUUGUUAAUGCAAAUAUCUAAUUAGCCAAUCAUGUGGCAGCAACUCAAUGCAUAAGCACAUGCAGACAUGGUCAGGAGGUUCAGGUAUUGUCCUGACAUCAGAAUGGGGAAGUCAUGUGAUCUAAGUGAUUUUGCCUGUGGAAUGAUUGUUGGUGCCAGACAGGGUGGUUUGAGUAUCUCAGAAACUGCUGAUCUCCUGGUAUUUUCACACACAACACUCUCUAGAGUUUACAGAGAAUAAUGCAAAAAACUAAUUUUAAAAAUCUAGUCAGCUUCAGUUCUGUGGGCAAAAACGCCUUGGUAAUGAGAGGGGUCAGAGGAGAAUGGCCAGACUGAUUCAAGUUGACAGGAAGGUGACAGUAACUCAAAUAAUCCUUUGUUACUGGUGUGUAGAAGAGCAUCUCUAAAUGCGUGACACAUCACACCUUGAGGUGGAUGGGUUACAACAGCAGAAGAACACAAACAUAGUCCUGUGAUACCAAAUGAAGUGGUCACUCAGUACAUUUGGGUCUUUCUGCUCAAUGAUCAACCACCAGCCACAUCAUCUCCGGUCCACCCCUCCUGCUUUCUGGAGGGACUGCCCUGCCCAUGAUUCCCUGGUUUGCAAAUCCCACCUCACCCAUCCUUGCCCCUCCCUAGGACCUUUCCCCUGUAAUCAUAGGUGGCGCCUACGUCUCCUCCAUGACCCAUCCACAUUCACAUACAUCUCACCCUUGUCCGUUGCAUCUUGUGCUCCUGAUGUGACCUCCUCUACAUUUGUGAGACCAAGCGAAUGAGGCGGGGCGACCACUUUGUGGAGCACCUUCUUUCCAUUCGCCGUGGUUUUCUAGACCUCCCAGUUACCCGCCAUUUUAAUUCCUCUCCCCUUUCCUAAACUGAACUGUCUGUCCUCGGCUUCCUCCAUUACUAGGGUGAAGCUGAACAUAAACUAGAGGAACAGAACUGCAUGAGCUCCAGGGUUAACUACAAUCCAACCGCAUGAACGUUGAAUUCCCCAACUUCAGGUAACCUGUUCCAUCUCUUGCCCUUUUCUCUCUCCUCCUGAUCUCCUCAGUUCCUCCUGUCUCAGCUCCCACACCUGCUUUCUUCCCUACCUCCAUCUGUCCAUCACCCACACACUCAUCCCACUGGGUCCCCUUCCCCACUGUUCCCAUCUGAUUUGUUUCCAUGCUCUCCAAUCAGAUCCCAGCAUCUGCAGCCCUUUGUCACCUCCACCCAUCACCUCCCAGCCUCUGUCACCAUUCCCACUCUCCCUUCCUCCAUCUGCCUAUCACCCCUCCUCACCUGGAUCCACCCAUCACCUCCCAGCCUCUGUUGCUAUUCCCACUCUCCCUUCCUCCAUCUGCCUAUCACCCCUCCUCACCUGGAUCCACCCAUCACCUCCCAGCCUCUGUUGCUAUUCCCCCUGUGAACCCUCUCACCUGAAUCUACCUAUCACCUCCCAGCCUUUGUCACUGCUCCCCCGUCAGCCUAUCACCUCUCACCUGGCAGCUCUCCACUCUCUCAAUUCAACUGAAGGGUCUCAAACCUGAAGCUUAACUGUCCAUUUCCCUCCACAGACAGUGCCUGAGCCACUGAGUUCCACCAGCAGUUUGUUUUUUUUUUUGUGUGGGAAGAUACAAUUUAUAGGUUCACAUACAGUCGGUGUGAAGCCAUUGGACUUGGUUGUGAAGAAGGAUGCCUUCUUCCAGUUUUCUGCAAUGAGGAGAUUUCCUUUGGCUCAGGGUACCCCAUGGCCGUGUUCUGAUUGGAAAGCGAAGACAGAAGACAUCGCAUCCAGCAUGUUUGCUAUUUGCCAGUUUAAAGCUUUAUCACAGAAUGAUGGGUCAUCAAUCUUCCGUUUGGAUUAAUUAUCACAAUAAGCCAUCUAAAGAGAGAUAAAGAUUACCGUUAUUUGUCACAUGAAGCACACAGUGAAAUGCAUUGUUCAUGUCAACAAGCAACACAGUGGUUUGUGUUUGUGUUUGUGAUUGUGCUGGGGGAGGGAGUGGGUGAAUAAAUGUCACCAUGCUUGCCACACCAAAGUAGCAUGCCCAUCAACUCACCAAUUCUUUGUAAUGUGCAAGGAAACUGGAGCACCUGAGGAAACUUAUGAGGUCAUGGGGAGAACAGAGAAAUUAGUAACAAAUUCCUUAGAAACAGGAAUUGAACCCUGAUCAGUGAGUGUUACACUGCUAACUAAUCCAAUAGAGACACAAGGAGUGGCAGAUGUUGGAACACAGCUUGUGUCUCUAUCUCCACUUGUCCCUUCUGCCCUGAGUCCACCUGAUUCAAAACCCAAGCCUGUCUCAUCAUUCAUGCCCUGGGGAAUUCCUGCUGCUUUUAAAGGUUGGAAAGCUGGUGAAAUUUUCCAAGACAUUAGAUUAUAUUAAAGAUCAGCUUUUCUUGGUCAUAUGUACGUUGAAACACAAUGAAAUGCAUCAUGUUUUCAUCAAAUCAGGUCAGCGAGGAUUCUGCUCAACAGCCCACAUGUGUCGCCAUGUUUAAGAUGCCAACGUUGGUUCAAAGGUUCAAAGGUCAAGUUUAAUGUCAGAGAAAUGUAUACAAUAUACAUCCUGAAAUGCUUUGUCUUUGCAAAACAUCCACAAAACCAGAGAAGUGCCCCAAAGAGUGAACGACAGUUAAAUGUGAGAACCCCAAAGUCCCUCCCAGCUCCUCUCCCUCCCACAUGUAAGCAGCAGCGAGCAACGAUCCUCCUCCCCCCCCCACCAGCAACAAAAAUUGCAUCGAGCCCAAGCGAAGCAAUAGCAAAGACACAGACCAAAGUUACCCCAAAAGCUUCAUAUUUCAUCUAAAAUUCAACAACCCACAGGUUCUUUCUCUCCCGGGCAAGGGAGAGGGAGGUGUCGCCCAUUUUCACAGUGAGUGGGAGACAUAACAACAACCCACGAUGUUUACGAUGUUAAAAGUCAGUUUUAUCGCUCUUUUCGAGAUCUGUGUCCAAAGAUCGCAAAGACCUCAGGUCUUCGGGCCUACAGCGAAAGAUUUUCUGGCCUCACCAACGACACGAGUCUCCAGCUGUGACACUGACCCUAAAACCGCCCCUCUCCAGAGCCCUAAGAUCCAAGGCUUCCGAACACGAUCAAGACUCUCAGGCCAAACCCUUGGCGUGUUGAAUAGCGGCCAGUCAUUGAACAUAGAAUGCUCACAAAUCACAAAACCUAACUCCGCAUUUUAUUUUGGAAUGUGGGCGGAAACUAGUGCACCAGGAGAAAAUCCAAUCGGUCACGGAGAGGACCUACAAACUCCUUACAGGCAGCAGCAGGAAUCGUGAUCAUCGGCACAGUAACAGCGUUAUGGUAACUGUUACGCCACUGUACCAUGAAAGAAAAUUAUCCUUCUGUAUCUUUCCCUCUUGUGGAAACAUCAGAAUUUGAUAUCUAAGUAACCAAGGGUGAUCAAAUUCACCCUCAGUCAUCCUUAAGGUAGGUAAUUGAGAAUUUAGUUGGACGUGAAAGGCCCCAUAACUCUGUUCUGAAGUAGGACAAACAACCAGUAUGCAAAAGAAGAUAAACUAAGCAAGUACAACAUUAAACGAAUAAUUAAUAAAUAAAGAAACAAACAAACAAAUAGAUAGAUAGAUAGAUAAAUAAAUAACACUAACAACAUAAGUUACAGAGUCAUGGAAAAGUACAGCAUAGAAACAGGCCCUUUGGCCCAUCUAGUCCAUACUAAACCAUUUAAACUGCCUACUCCCAUCGAUCUGCACUGGGCCCAUAGCCCUCCAUACCCUUACCAUCCAUGUACCUUUCCAAACUUCUCUUAAACCUCAAAAACAAGCUUGCAUGCACCACUUUCCACAUUCUCGUGACUCUCAGAGUGAAGAAGUUUUGCCUCAUGUUCCUCUUAAACUUUUCACUUUUCACCCUUAACCCACGACCUCCAGUUGUAGUCAUAGGUUGUAGAGUCCUUGAAAGUGAGUCAAUCCAUUGGUUGUGCUGAGUGAUCUGUUCAGAGCGAAGUUACCCAGGCUGGUUCAGGAACCUGAUGGGUGUAGGGUAAUAACUGCUCCUGAACCUGGUGGUGUAGGACCGAAGACUCCUGUAACCUCUUUCCUGAUGGCAGCAGUGAGAAAAGAGCAUGGCUUGGAUGGUGGGGUUGGGGGGUGGAUGGGGAAGGCGGGGUUCUUAGUGAUGGUGUUGCCCUCCUGUGGUAGUGCUCCUUGUAGAUGUUGUCAAUGAUGGGAAGGGCUUUUCUUGUGAUGGACUAGGCCUUAUCCAUUACUUUUGGCAGUCUUUACCUCUCCCCCUCCCUCCGCUACCUGAUUCCACCUAUCUAAAACCUUUCCUCACCUGGAUCCACCUAUCAGUGGCCGUACCCCUUUCCUCUACCUUUUUAUACUGGCUAUCAUCCUUCCACCUUUUUCAGGGGUCCCAACCUAUUUAUGGUCUGGACCACUACCAUUCACCAAGGGGUUCAUGUACCCUAGGUUGGUACCCCCUGCAUUCUUUCAGUCCAAAUGUAAAUUCUUGACCCGAAACAUCAAUUGUCCAUUUCCCUCCACGGAUACUACCUGAUUCACCGAGUUCCCUCAACAGUUGGUCUUUUGCUCAAUGUUGAAUACAAAUAAGUGUAUUUUGCUGUUAACUUAAGUCAGUCACAAUAAACAGAUUUGAGAUGCUGCAAACUCCACAAAAUAAUCAAAUUGACCCCUCAACCUUUCACCCAAAAGCUGCUGAAGUUGGGGGACUGUUUCAUCGAGCACCUCUGCUCCAUCCACCACUAGUGGGACUUCCCGGUGGUCAAACAGUUUACUGUAAUUCUCAUUCCCAUUCCUGUUCCGACGUGUCAAUCCAUGGCAUCCUCUUGUGCCAAGAUGAGGCCACCCUCAGGGUGGAGGAUCAACACCUUAUAUUCCACCUUGGUACCUUCCAAUCUGGUGGUAUGAAUAUCAAUUUCUCCUAGUGAAUAAUAUUUCCCCCCCCUCCUCUAUUCCCCACUUCGACCUUUUACCUUCUCACCUGCCUAUUACUUCCCCCGGCUACCCCCUCCUUCCCUUUCUCCUAUUCUCUUCCCCAGUCAGAUCCUUUCUUCUCCAGCCCUUGACCUUUCCCAUCCACCUGGCUUCACCUAUCACUUUCCAGCUCACCUCUUUCCCCUCCCCCACCAUUUAAUUCAGGCAUCUGCCCCCUUUCGUCUCAGGGUCUCAGGUCAAAAUGUCGAUUGUUCAUUCCUCUCCGUAGAUGCUACCUGACCUGCUGAGUUCCUCCAGCAUUUCGUGUAUGUUGCUUUGAAUUUAUCAAGUCCUUUAUUAAUUAUUUUCCUGCUUUGUGAGGGAAAAUACAUCAAAAUCCUGACCGUGGCACAAAUGAAAGAGGUACAUUAUCUAUCAGCUGAAAGAGAAGUACUCUAAGCUCAAACACUGAUGAACGUUUCUUCAAGGCCUCAGAUAUUUUUAAUACUCUCUCCUGGAAUUUAUCUGCGCCACAUUAAAUCUGACAGCUUCAAAUCAAGAGUUAUACUUGCUAAUCCAAGCAGUGUCAGCGUGGCACUACAAAAACAUUAAUCAAAUGCAUUUACUUUGCACUCUGCUUGUUCGUGGUUUUUUAGGCAGUCCAGCUGGGAAAUGGGGCUCUGUGAUGUGGCAUGGGAAUCAUGCCCUGGUAUUUUGUGGUCAACAGCACACUGGAGUCAGUGUACUUUCCUCGAGACUGGAAUCCACUGACUCAGACAAGGCGGUUACAAGGUCAACAUUGUUCAUGCUUCACUCCGUUAGUGCUCCGCAUGUUACAGAGGGGAAAGCACAACUAGGUUUUAACUGAGGGGAACUGUUCCACCAGAACACAAGCAUGCAUUGAGUCUGAGGUUGGAUAGGUGUGUAGAAGUGUUAUUUUUUCUUGUGGUGUAGCUUUCUUAUGCUUAUCAACUGUGUACAAUCGUUCAGUGACUUGUUUGUAGACCAUAAGACGAGAAGACAAUAGGCCAUUCGGCCCCUCAGGUCUGAUCCGCCAUUCGAUCACGACUGAGUUAUUAUCUCCCUCAAUCCCAUUCUCCUGCCUUCUCACUGAAAACUUUGCCACUCUGACUAAGCAAGAACCUAUAAACAUUCGUUCUAAAUACACUCUUUAACUUGGCCUCCACAGCUGUCCAUCUAUUCUGUAGCGGUGCCUACUGGUCCCAGACUCCCCCACAAUAGGAAGCAUCCUCUAGAACCAUCCACUGAGUCUGUAGCAGUUCUUGUAGAGAAGAACUGUCAGUCCAAUUGCCCUCAUGUAACACAGUCAAAUUGAAAACAUAUAAAUUACUGCAAAUUACAAAAUAAGUAAAUAGCGUUGGUGAGGAGAUGCGUCUCUACCAAAGGAGGUAUAUGGCACACCUUCCCUCUGCUAGCCUGUAGGUCACCCUUGGGCAAGGUGUAGCACCUGCUUAGCCCCCGAUCUGGGUCACGUAAAGCCAUGGGAGCAGGUGGUGGACGGUCGUAUGAGCAGCCAGUGCAGAUCACAAGUCCUGGUUAUGUGACCACUGACCCCAUGCAGACAGAAGAGUACUGAUAACGGCUGGGGUCACCCACUUGUAAAGACACUGUCCAGAAGAAGGCAAUGGCAAACCACUUCUGUAGAAAAAUUUGCCAAGGACAAUCAUGGUGACAGAAAGACCAUGAUCGUCCCUGUCAUACGAUGUGGCAUAUAAUGAUGAUGUCAAACGAUACGGCACACAAUGAUGAUGUCAUACGAUACAGCACAUAACAAACAAACAAAAUAAAUAGUGCAAAAGGAAAAAUGAGAUAGUGUUCAUGGGUUCAAGGGCAAUUCAGAAAUCUGUUGAUAGAGGAGGCGAAACUUCCUGAAUCACUGAGUAUAAGUCUUCACAUUUCAGUAACCCCUCCCCGAUGGUAUUAACAUAAAAGGAGUGUACUGUACCAGGUAGUGAGAAUCCAUAACAUCACCAGACACUAAGACAUAAGAGCAGAAUUAUGCCAUUCACUCCAUCGAGUCUGCUCAACUGUUUGAUCAUGUCUGAAUUAUUAUCCUUCUCAACCCCAUUAUCCUCCCCCUCCAUAAACUUUGAUGCUUUGACUAAUCAAGAACCCAACCAACCUCCGCAUUGAAUUUCCUGAGGAGACUGAGUGCCUUUAACAUCUGCCGGACAAUGCUGAGGAUGUUCUACGAGGCUGUGGUGGCCAGUACUAUCAUGUUUGCUGUUGUGUGCUGGGGCAGCAGGCUGAGGGUAGCAGACACCAACAGAAUCAACAAACUCAUUUGUAAGGCCAGUGAUGUUACGGGGGUGGAACUAGACUCUCUGAUGGUGAUGUCUGAAAAGAGGAUGCUGUCCAAGUUGCAUGCCAUCUUGGACAAUGACUCCCAUCCAUUCCAUAAUGUACUGGUUAGGCACAGGAGUACAUUGAGCCAGAGACUCAUUCCACCGAGAUGUAACACUGAGCGUCAUAGGAAGUCAUUCCUGCCUGUGGCCAUCAAACUUUACAACUCCUCCCUCGGAGUGUCAGACACCCUGAGCCAAUAGGCUGGUCUUGGGCUUAUUUCCACUUGGCAUGAUUAACUUAUUAUUAUUUAAUCAUUUAUGGUUUUAUAUUGCUGUAUUUCUUCACUCCUCUUGGUUGGUGCGACUGUAACGAAACCCAGUUUCCCUUGGGAUCAGUAAAGUAUGUCUGUCUGUCUGUCUGAAUAUAUUUCCAGUGGUUACAAUUGCCUCUCUAUUUUUCUGGAAACUCCUUUGUUUCAGUGGCAGGUGUUACACUACUUGGAUCUGGCUAUCUUACUGGUUAAUUGUUAUCAAUGGAAUUUUUGCUAUGAGUAGUCUGGUAUGAGAAGAACACACUUCUUCUCAGUGCUUCUUCAUCAUCUCUUUCUUUGUUCUUAAUAAAAUGAUCAUUAGCAACAAAUUUGAUGCCUCAUUCUUCUGAAGAUCUUUAGGAUUGCAAAAGCAUCUGGAUCGAACAGCAGAGAGUAAACAACAGUGCAAGCUUGAGGGGAGAAUCACUUGACA
Hypanus sabinus (Atlantic stingray) is the source of this 9563-nucleotide RNA transcript. It is a transcript of the gene named proline/arginine-rich end leucine-rich repeat protein, with no coding region annotated. The record is from RefSeq and is a predicted model, not a curated record. Lineage: Eukaryota; Metazoa; Chordata; Chondrichthyes; Myliobatiformes; Dasyatidae. The transcript is spliced from 4 exons.